GGCAGUCUGAAGAAGCAGAGGAAGGAGGAGUAAUGAUAGAGGCAGUCUGAAGAAGCAGAGGAAGGAGAAGAGUAAUGAUAUAGAGGCAGUUUGAAGAAGCAGAGGAAGGAGGAGAGGAGUAAUGAUAGAGGCAGUGAAGAAGCCGAGGAAGGAGAAGAGUAAUGAUAGAGGCAGUCUGAAGAAGCAGAGGAAGGAGGAAAGGAGUAAUGAUAUAGAGGCAGUCUGAAGAAGCAGAGGAAGGAGGAGAGGAGUAAUGAUAUAGAGGCAGUUUGAAGAAGCAGAGGAAGGAGGAGAGGAGUAAUGAUAGAGGCAGUUUGAAGAAGCAGAGGAAGGAGGAGUAAUGAUAGAGGCAGUCUGAAGAAGCAGAGGAAGGAGGAGAGGAGUAAUGAUAUAGAGGCAGUUUGAAGAAGCAGAGAAAGGAGGAGAGGAGUAAUGAUAUAGAGGCAGUUUGAAGAAGCAGAGGAAGGAGGAGAGGAGUAAUGAUAUAGAGGCAGUCUGAAGAAGCAGAGGAAGGAGGAGAGGAGUAAUGAUAGAG
Molecule: non-coding RNA, 535 nt
Organism: Oncorhynchus mykiss (rainbow trout)
Lineage: Eukaryota; Metazoa; Chordata; Actinopteri; Salmoniformes; Salmonidae
Source: RefSeq, a predicted model, not a curated record